RNAcentral lists this long non-coding RNA (289 nucleotides) under Rosa chinensis. RNAcentral describes it as "sRNA RchiOBHm_Chr7g0211651". Lineage: Eukaryota; Viridiplantae; Streptophyta; Magnoliopsida; Rosales; Rosaceae. The record is from RNAcentral.
CUGGAGUUCAUCCCCAAAGUCAUCCGGUACCGGUUUCAAGACUCAAGCUACUGCAAUCGGGAAACCCCCAAAUCUCUUCCUUCUCUGUCUCCAUUUCAAUGUAGAGGUCCUCAAUGCGUGUUUUCUUGUGCGAACGAGCAUAGGUCGCUGUCUAAACAAAAGUUUACUUGUUGCCUAGCAUUGGAUGGUGUCAAUGUACUUGCCUCUGGUUUUGAGGCAGAUGAAAAGGAGUAACACCUGUUACUUAUCUUUGAUGAUCACUCAUUUGAAAUUUAUCUUGAUUGACUGA